GUCUGACCUGCCCACUGAUUUUAUUAAAUGGCCGCAGUAUAUUAACUGUGCAAAGGUAGCAUAAUCAUUAGUCUUUUAAUUGAAGGCUGGUAUGAAUGGUUGAAUGAAAUAUUAACUGUUUCAAUUUAAUUGUAUAUAGAAUUUUAUUUUUUAGUCAAAAAGCUAAAAUAUAUUUAAAAGACGAGAAGACCCUAUAAAUCUUUAUAAUUAAAAUUUUAUAAAUUUAUAGAUAAUUUUAUUUUUAAAAUUUUUAAUUAUUUUAUUGGGGUGAUAUUAAAAUUUAAUAAACUUUUAAUUAAUUAAUUACAUUAAUUAAUGAAAAAUUGAUCCAUUUAUAAUGAUUAAAAAAUUAAGUUACUUUAGGGAUAACAGCGUAAUUUUUUUAGAGAGUUCAUAUUAAUAAAAAAGAUUGCGACCUCGAUGUUGGAUUAAGAUAUAAAAUUAGGUGCAGUAGUUUAAUUUUA
RNAcentral lists this ribosomal RNA (464 nucleotides) under Spiniphora punctipennis. RNAcentral's name for it is "partial 16S ribosomal RNA". Lineage: Eukaryota; Metazoa; Arthropoda; Insecta; Diptera; Phoridae. The record is from RNAcentral.